RNAcentral lists this ribosomal RNA (406 nucleotides) under uncultured bacterium. Its description in RNAcentral is "partial 16S ribosomal RNA". It matches the Rfam family "Bacterial small subunit ribosomal RNA", at positions 30 to 526 of the family's 1533-position model. The record is from RNAcentral.
AUUGAACGCUGGCGGCAGGCCUAACACAUGCAAGUCGAACGAGUGGCGCACGGGUGAGAAAUGUCUGGGAAACAGCUUGAUGGAGGGGGAUAAUUACUGGAAACGGUAGCUAAUACAGCAUACCAUCAGCUGUGCCAAGAUGGGACUCGGUUGUUGGUGGGGUAACGGCUCACCACGGCGCCGAUCCCUAGCGGGUCUGAGAGGGUGAACAGCCACACUGGAACUGAGACACGGUCCAGACCCGUACGGGAGGCAGCAGUGGGGAAUAUUGCGCAAUGGGCGCAAGCCUGAUGCAGCCAUGCCGCGUGUGUGAAGAAGGCCUUCGGAUUGUAAAGUACUUUCAGCGGGGAGGCGUUACCCGCAGAAAAAGCACCGGCUAACUCCGUGCCAGCAGCCGCGGUAAUAC